UACAGAGGUCCCAAGCGUUGUUCGGAUUCACUGGGCGUAAAGGGUGCGUAGGUGGCGAGGUAAGUCGGAUGUGAAAUCUCCAAGCUUAACUUGGAAAUGGCAUUGGAAACUACCUUGCUUGAGGGUCGGAGGGGGAGCUGGAAUGACUUGGUGUAGCAGUGAAAUGCGUAGAUAUCAAGUGGAACACCAGUGGCGAAGGCGAGUCCCUGGACGACUCCUGACACUGAGGCACGAAAGCUAGGGGAGCAAACAGG
RNAcentral lists this ribosomal RNA (254 nucleotides) under uncultured bacterium. Its description in RNAcentral is "partial 16S ribosomal RNA". It matches the Rfam family "Bacterial small subunit ribosomal RNA", at positions 524 to 776 of the family's 1533-position model. The record is from RNAcentral.